Molecule: long non-coding RNA, 477 nt
Organism: Spinacia oleracea (spinach)
Lineage: Eukaryota; Viridiplantae; Streptophyta; Magnoliopsida; Caryophyllales; Amaranthaceae
Exons: 2
Source: RefSeq, a predicted model, not a curated record
UUUUAGUAUAUAGUCCUUUUUGAAUUGCUAUUUAUAGCUCUAAAACAUUAGGAAAUAUAAUCAAACCGAAUCUAUGUUUCCUAAGAUGAAGACUUCUUCUAUUGCCACACUCCUAUUUCUUGCUGUCUUGCUAUUUAUAUUUGGUUUGAAAUCGGGAGAAAGUCAAGUAUGCGCAUAUGGAACAGUGGAAAUGGAGAGAUGCACAAUCCCACAAUGCUCUUCAGAUUGCCGGAACAAAGUCCCACAUUCAACUGGGAAAUGCAUUGCUAUCGACACUUGUUGUUGUGUCGCUAGAGCUAUUUUACAUCAUUAAUUUUCCUUUUCUUUUCUCUUCUCUUAUUAUCUACCAAGUCACUCAAUUAUUAUCUAUCUUAUCAACCCUUUUUUCUUUUUUCUGUUUUUUUAUUUUAUUUUUGGCAUUACGUAGGAUAUCUCAACUCCAAGUAAUACACCCCAAAAAAUUAAAUAUGUUUGUUA